RNAcentral lists this unclassified non-coding RNA (240 nucleotides) under soil metagenome. RNAcentral describes it as "partial contains 5.8S ribosomal RNA, internal transcribed spacer 2, and large subunit ribosomal RNA". The record is from RNAcentral.
AACACUGUUAACCUGCGGUACCUGCGGAAGGAUCAUUAACAAAUCAAUUGUGCGGGUCUUCGGACCUUGCAUAUAAACCCGAACCCGCGCAGCAAUGCCGGGCUAGGUGUGCAUGAGCAAUCAUGUACGGCCGAGUCUGAGUGUGCAAAUGCUCAGUCGAAGCCAAAUAGACGCUUGUAUGUUUUGACAGAUCUAGUUGACAUCUUUAAAAUGACAACUUUUAACAACGGAUCUCAGAUC